Long non-coding RNA from Etheostoma spectabile (orangethroat darter), 1143 nucleotides. RefSeq lists it as uncharacterized. The transcript is spliced from 3 exons. The record is from RefSeq and is a predicted model, not a curated record. Lineage: Eukaryota; Metazoa; Chordata; Actinopteri; Perciformes; Percidae.
GUGACAAUUUGCCCCCUUUAAUAGUGUAAAAGAGGAGUGUGGCUGAUUCCCUGAAUGAGACCCCCCGGUUUUAAAAAUGACUGACUCCGAGAAAGCAGGGAAAAACAGGCCUUUGAAGCAGCGUUUACCCAUAGCAUGGAGACCUUGUGCCGAACUGACGUCUCUCAGAGGGCUGAAGUGUCUUCAGAGAUACAGCUAAUCAGGGCCUCGGCAGCUUUUGGGCUGUAUGUUAUUAAAUCCUCACCCGAGCUGAAAUUUAAGGUCCAAAGUGCCAUGACUGCAUUCCUGGACAGGACGGGUGUAGUCUCAUGGGUGACACAGCAAGGUGGAUGGGAAAAAGUGAAAGACGUUUGAGACUGAAUCUUGCCCUACCAGCCUCUGUAAUGAAUGCCUACCUGAACAACAUUCCACCAGUUGAACUUGUGGAGCCACUGUAUCAGUCUGUAAUCUGUCUGUUCAGGGUUCUUUAUCACAGGCAGACAUCUAAUCAGACACUAAACCUCUUCCUUAGAAUUUCAGUGCUUUCACAUUGCCUUUCUGUUUCAGACAAUCUGGUGCUAACCCCAUGUUGUAUUGAUGCAGUUUAUGGGAGUUGAUUAAAAGGAUUGCAGCUGCCAUUGAAAUUUUUCCCUUCUCAGUGACUUGCAUUGGUUGAUAAAUAGCUAAAAUAGUAAUCUAAAGUAGAUCAUUGUAAUGCAAAAAAAUUUCAAUAAGUCACUUUUAUUCUCAUAAAUGAUUAGCGCUACUUCCGCAUUAUGGGGCCCAUAGAGCAUGCACACUACAGAACUCUUUCGGCCAAGCCGGCUACUCCCGUUUAGCACUCCGCUAACUUGUGCGGCACUUUUAAGACUUUCCAAAUGUUAUCGGGCCAAAUGAAUAAAAUUCUGAUAGUAAAACGAAUCAUUUCGCAGGGGUUGUGACCAUUAAAGUCUAUGGGGGGAAAGUAUUUUUGGGCCAGAGGGCAUCACGCUACAGAUCCGGAAGUUGCAAUUCUGUUUGGCCACUAUGUCAAAUUGUCUUCAAAGCCCAACGUGCAUGUGCAAAAGUCUCUCAGACCACUUGAAUCACAAUAUGCUAAAAGAUUAUGGAAUUUUUUGCCAACGAUGCCAAAAAUAAACUGCCUACCACAGCUUCAAUUUGAAU